Molecule: ribosomal RNA, 723 nt
Filed under: Triticum aestivum (bread wheat)
Lineage: Eukaryota; Viridiplantae; Streptophyta; Magnoliopsida; Poales; Poaceae
Description: partial small subunit ribosomal RNA
Source: RNAcentral
CUUGCCUUCUGCCAGAGAUCUGGUGGCUCCCAGUUCUGGCAGUCCUUCAUCCAGUUGCUCCCGGUCCUCCGCAUAGGGACCUCCAUCACGGUCAGAUCCGGGACAUUCACCCUGUUCUGGUUCUACUGGUGGGUUGGGGAUGCCCCUUUCACGGCCCGCAUUCCAGACUUGUUCUCCAUCACAGUGGAACCAUGCAUCUCCGUCGAGGCGACACUUAUUGACUUAGGGUGCCUCACGUUUCGGCGGCCAUUUGGGCCUCCAGACCUAACCACCUGGCACAAGCUCCUUGAGAUUACCGCCCUUCACGAGCCGGACCUAGAGCAGGCAAACAAUUGCAUCUCGUGGCACCUAGAGCCCUCGGGCAAAUUCUCCAUGAAGUCUCUCUACCAAGCCAUCGCUGCCACUCCUGCACCGAAGCCCCUUGAGUUAAUCUGGUCGCUCAGACUUCCUCUAAGGAUCAGGAUCUUUCUGUGGCAAUGGAUCCGCGUCCGUGUCCCGUUCAGUGUGGAGGUGCUUAAGCAGAAUGGCCCGGGGGAUGGGAUCUGUCCCCUAUGUGGGAUAGAAGAAGACUCGAACCACAUCUUGUUUUUGUGUGUGUCCGCCCAGUUCCUCUGGAGCUUCCUAAUACGUCUCCAACGUAUCUAUAAUUUUUUAUUGUCCCAUGCUAUUAUAGUAUCAAUCUUGGAUGUUUAUUAUGCAAUUAUAUAUCAUUUUUGGGACUAG